UACUAGAGUAGCACUCGCAUAUCAAUAAGCGGAGGAAAAGAAACUAACAAGGAUUCCCCUAGUAACGGCGAGUGAAGCGGGAAGAGCUCAAAUUUGAAAUCUUAAAGGGUUUCCCUUUACGAAUUGUAGUUUAAAGAAGUGUUUUCUGUUGAGGUUUUGGUAAAAGUUCUUUGGAAUAGGACAUCAUAGAGGGUGAGAAUCCCGUAUUUGACCUUUACUUUCAACUUUGUGAUACACUUUCAAAGAGUCGGAUUGUUUGGGAAUGCAGUCCAAAAUGGGUGGUAAAUUUCAUCUAAAGCUAAAUAUUGGCGAGAGACCGAUAGCGAACAAGUACCGUGAGGGAAGAUGAAAGGAACUUUGAAAAGAGAGUUAAACAGUACGUGAAAUUGUCAAAAGGGAAGCGUUUGACACCAGUGUUGUUUUUCUGAAAAUCAAUUAAAGAACUGUUUAUGCUAAGUUGUUUAGACUUUAUCAGCUAACUGUUUAGUUUUGAGCUUUUCUUUAAUGCACUUUUCAGUUAACAAGUCAACAUCAAUUUCUUUUGCUGUAAAAAAGCUUGAGGAAGGUGGCUUGAGAUUCGUCUUAAGUGUUUAUAGCCUCUUGCCUAUGCAGUCGGAGAGAUUGAGGUCUGCAGCGUAGAUCCUUCGGGGCUAAAUGCAUUUGUGCUAAGUUAUAGCAUUUUAUAGACAACUUGUUGACUAUGAUUUGUCUUGUAGCUUACUCGCUUAUGUUAUUUUACCUACGCUUAGGAUGUUGAUAUCGCGCUCUCACUG
This 773-nucleotide ribosomal RNA is filed under the name uncultured Neocallimastigales. Its description in RNAcentral is "partial large subunit ribosomal RNA". It matches the Rfam family "Eukaryotic large subunit ribosomal RNA", at positions 20 to 643 of the family's 3401-position model. Lineage: Eukaryota; Fungi; Neocallimastigomycota; Neocallimastigomycetes; Neocallimastigales. The record is from RNAcentral.